AGUCGAGCGCGAAAACACUUCGGUGUGAGUAAAGCGGCGGACGGGUGAGUAACGCGUAGGAAUCUACCUAGUAGUGGGGGACAACUCGGGGAAACUCGAGCUAAUACCGCAUACGCCCUACGGGGGAAAGCGGGGGACCUUCGGGCCUCGUGCUAUUAGAUGAGCCUGCGUUGGAUUAGCUAGUUGGUGGGGUAAAGGCCUACCAAGGCGACGAUCCAUAGCUGGUCUGAGAGGAUGAUCAGCCACACCGGGACUGAGACACGGCCCGGACUCCUACGGGAGGCAGCAGUGGGGAAUAUUGCGCAAUGGGCGAAAGCCUGACGCAGCCAUGCCGCGUGUGUGAAGAAGGCCUUCGGGUUGUAAAGCACUUUCAAUUGGGAGGAAAGGUUCACGGUUAAUAACCGUGAGCUAUGACGUUACCUUUAGAAGAAGCACCGGCUAACUCCGUGCCAGCAGCCGCGGUAAUACGGAGGGUGCGAGCGUUAAUCGGAAUUACUGGGCGUAAAGCGCGCGUAGGUGGUCUGUUAAGUCGGAUGUGAAAGCCCUGGGCUCAACCUGGGAACUGCACCCGAUACUGGCAGACUAGAGUGCGGGAGAGGGAGGUAGAAUUCCACGUGUAGCGGUGAAAUGCGUAGAUAUGUGGAGGAAUACCAGUGGCGAAGGCGGCCUCCUGGCUCGACACUGACACUGAGGUGCGAAAGCGUGGGGAGCAAACAGGA
RNAcentral lists this ribosomal RNA (719 nucleotides) under Halieaceae bacterium. RNAcentral's name for it is "bacterial SSU rRNA". It matches the Rfam family "Bacterial small subunit ribosomal RNA", at positions 60 to 777 of the family's 1533-position model. The record is from RNAcentral. Lineage: Bacteria; Pseudomonadati; Pseudomonadota; Gammaproteobacteria; Cellvibrionales; Halieaceae.